Molecule: ribosomal RNA, 254 nt
Filed under: uncultured bacterium
Lineage: Bacteria
Description: partial 16S ribosomal RNA
Rfam family: Bacterial small subunit ribosomal RNA
Source: RNAcentral
UACGGGGGGAGCAAGCGUUGUUCGGAUUUACUGGGCGUAAAGGGCGCGUAGGCGGCCACCGCAAGUCAGUUGUGAAAUCUCUGGGCUUAACCCAGAAAGGUCAACUGAUACUGCGGGGCUAGAGUGCAGAAGGGGCAACUGGAAUUCUCGGUGUAGCGGUGAAAUGCAUAGAUAUCGAGAGGAACACCUGCGGCGAAGGCGGGUUGCUGGGCUGACACUGACGCUGAGGCGCGAAAGCUAGGGGAGCGAACGGG